CCGCCAGAGAACAACGAGCAAAGCUUAAAACCCAAAGGACUUGGCGGCGCUUCAUAUCACCCUAGAGGGGCCUGUCACAUAAUCGAUAACCCACGAUAUACCUCACCAUUUUUAACCCCAUCAGCCUAUAUACCGCCGUCGCCAGUUCAUCUCGAGGAAAGGAACAAAAUGGACUUAAAAGUACAAACACUAAAACGACAGGUCAAGGUGUAGCUCAUGAAAUGGUAAAUGAUGGACCACAUUGCUUAACAAAGCACACUAAAACUGCACUGAAACACACACUUUAAGGUGAAUUUAACAGUAAGACAAAUAAGAAAGUCUGUCUAAAGCAUGCUCUGAAGCGUGCACACACCGCCCGUCACCCUCAA
This 368-nucleotide ribosomal RNA is filed under the name Chamaeleo dilepis (flapneck chameleon). RNAcentral describes it as "partial 12S ribosomal RNA". It matches the Rfam family "Bacterial small subunit ribosomal RNA", at positions 869 to 1406 of the family's 1533-position model. The record is from RNAcentral. Lineage: Eukaryota; Metazoa; Chordata; Lepidosauria; Squamata; Chamaeleonidae.